Molecule: long non-coding RNA, 1131 nt
Filed under: Monodelphis domestica (gray short-tailed opossum)
Lineage: Eukaryota; Metazoa; Chordata; Mammalia; Didelphimorphia; Didelphidae
Description: lncRNA (ENSMODG00000030256.2)
Source: RNAcentral
AAAGUGCUGGCUCAUAAAUGCUGGUUCCCUUUCUUAAUGAGGUAUUAGUCCACAUAGCCUGGAUCAGCUCAACUUAGCAACAGAUCAUUUGUGACCCCAGAAACGAAGCUAUUCUCAUCAAGGAACGUUUGUGGACUAUUCUUUAGAUGGAAGGAGGACAUCAAAGUCUACAGUCCAUUCUAUCCAGGUUGUAUCAGAUUGCACUGAACAAAAGACGGAGCAUUCCCAAGCUAUAGCAGUCAUUCUUGAAUUGAUGUGGUUUGAUUGAAAGCUUCCUUCAGUCUUUUCUACCCCGAGGACUUUCCAGUCUGAAACCUGAAUUGUUUACCAAAGUCUGUGGCUCUGGGCCAUGGGUGAGGAUCAAGAAAGAAAGAAGGGUCACAGGUUGGUGACCUGUGGACUGAUAACUAUUAUGGAAACAUCGACUCUGAAACUGCAUCUCCCCACUCCUUCCCAUUAAAUGUCAAAGCACUGACAGCAGAAGAUAUCAAUGUGAGUUAUAUGUAUGUCUACAUAUAUAUGUAUAUAAAUAUAAACUCCCUGAUCAUCUGUUUCUUUUUCAAUGCCAGAAAGUCAGUUUGUGGGAGAUUUAAAUUGCAGUUUUCUACUUAAGAAAACAGAUUACAUGAAGUUGUACUAGAAGAUAUGCAUAUCCUUUGAAAAAUAAUACUCUGGACAUUUUAUAAAAAGAGAAAGCUGUGGGAGAAAGUGAGUGUAGUAUUGGUAUCUACAGUUGCUUCUCUUUAAAAUAUGCAGGGUAUGUAAAAAUAAGAAAAGAAACAGAGGGAAAAGAUCAGAAGGACUUGUGUGGAUUUUGUUAUGUGAGCCUGCAGCCAGAUUAGCUACAGAUCAUUGUCCAAGAGAAAUAUUGAAAGAAAUUUUACAUAUGAAAUGUAGGAAAGAUGCUCUUUAAAAAAAGAGAUGAUAUUAUAAGGCAUAAUGAAUCUUUUCAAGUGAAAUGGAAGGAACACUAAAUUGAGACUGACCACUAAAAGGCUUGAUAAGGGUGGGAGUGGUUAAAUGGAGUUUGAUCAUGUUUAAAGGCAGUGGACGAGAAAUAGAGACUGAAAUUUGGAAGAGACAAGGAUAAAUACACGGAGGACACAGGAGGAGAGGGGAUCAAUGAUAGAG